RNAcentral lists this ribosomal RNA (566 nucleotides) under Parablennius tentacularis (tentacled blenny). RNAcentral's name for it is "partial 16S ribosomal RNA". It matches the Rfam family "Bacterial large subunit ribosomal RNA", at positions 1811 to 2584 of the family's 2925-position model. The record is from RNAcentral. Lineage: Eukaryota; Metazoa; Chordata; Actinopteri; Blenniiformes; Blenniidae.
AAACACCGCCUCCUGAAUUCCCCCCAUAGGAGGUCCCGCCUGCCCUGUGAUAAUAUAUUUAACGGCCGCGGUAUUUUGACCGUGCAAAGGUAGCGCAAUCACUUGUCUUUUAAAUGGAGACCUGUAUGAAUGGCAUAACGAGGGCUUAACUGUCUCCCUCCCCCAGUCAAUGAAAUUGAUCUUUCCGUGCAGAAGCGGGAAUAAACCCAUAAGACGAGAAGACCCUGUGGAGCUUUAGACAAUAAAUAGCCCCUGUAAAGAGCCCUUACCAAACAAGCGAAAACAAACGGAUGACUAUUUUGCUGUCUUUGGUUGGGGCGACCGCGGGGUAACAAAAAACCCCCAUGUGGAAUAAGAACAGCCUUCUUUAAACCAAGAACACCUCCUCGAAGUAACAGAACAUCUGACCUAAUAUGACCCGGCUUUGCCGAUCAACGGAACCAGUUACCCCAGGGAUAACAGCGCAAUCCUCUCCCAGAGCCCAUAUCGACGAGGGGGUUUACGACCUCGAUGUUGGAUCAGGACAUCCUAAUGGUGCAGCCGCUAUUAAGGGUUCGUUUGUUCAA